CAAUAACCCUUAACCCCUGGUGACCUUUUUGUGCCCAUUAAAAUUAUUUAUCGCCGGCGUGUGUAGCUUGUUUGUGUGUUCAGCAGAUGCUGACAUUAAGUGGAAAGUCAAAGGUAACAUAGCAACAAGGGCAGAUUACAGACUUUUUUUUUUUACCCCCCGCCGCCGUAUGUCUUAUUUUCGUUCUAUUUAUACUUGACGGUGUUUGUAUGUGUUGACAUGGAUCAUCUGUUAGGUGUCUGUGUGUGGGGGAGGGGUUUUAGGCUCCGCCCCUUUUUUCUGCCGUUAUAUAAGAGCUGUUUAGCCACACAUUCCUUUCCUCACUUCUGUUUUUCGAAGACUACACAGCCCUGAUGCCUCAGUUUGAGAAGAAAACGGUGCAUAUGAGGGACCCCGAGAGGGUGGAGCAGAUUAUCUGCGGCCUUAUCAAGGGUGGAGCCUCCAAACUUCAGAUCAUCACCGACUUCGACAUGACGCUAAGCAAAUUUGCCAUCAACGGCAAACGAUGUCCGUCGUGCCACUACAUCAUGGAAAACUGCCACCUGGUGUCGGAGGAGUGUCGUCAGAAGCUGCUGCAGCUCAAGAACAAGUACUAUCCCAUUGAGAUAGACCCAAAUCUCACCAUGGAGGAGAAGUACCCUUUUAUGGUGGAGUGGUAUUUUAAGUCCCAUUCACUUCUAGUGGAACAAAGGAUAGAAAAGGACAAAGUGCCACAAGUGGUGCGAGAGUCCGACGCCGCACUUCGAGAAGGCUUCGAACAGUUUUUCGACCGUCUGCACGAGCACGACGUACCCGUGUUCAUCUUCUCGGCAGGCCUGGGUGACGUCCUGGAGGAGAUCAUCCGGCAGGCGGGCGUCUACCACCCCAACAUUAAGGUGGUGUCCAACUUCAUGGACUUUGACGACAAAGGAGUCCUCCGGGGCUUCAAAGGCGAGCUGAUCCACGUGUACAACAAGCACGACGGUGCUCUGCGGAACACCGACUACUUCAAGCAGUUGAAGGAGAACUGCAACAUCAUACUGAUGGGAGACUCGCUUGGCGACCUCAGCAUGGCCGACGGCGUGCCCAACGUGGAGAACAUCCUCAAGGUCGGCUUCCUUAACGACAAGGUGGAGGAACGUCUGGACAAAUAUUUGGACUCUUACGACAUCGUCCUGGUCAAGGACGAGACCUUGGAAGUGCCCAACGCCAUCCUCCAGAAAGUUCUAUAACUCCCUCCUCGGACCACCUUCUUCCAACAAAGCCUUUGUACAUUUCCCUAACGGACACUUUUAAAGCGUACUCUUCAAAUUGUUUUAUAUUUUUGUUUGUUUGCGUGACCUACUCUCACUCCAUUUUGAGAAAACAAGUCAAGAACUACACUCGAUACCAAGAUCGUACACGAACAGUACGCACCGAGAUUUCGGACAUUUGAAAUAAUCUAAAGAAAACUAAAAUGAAUUGGAGGAAAUGCACUUUAAAAUAGGUGUGAAAAUCCAUAGAAUGAAUGGAAAAGCCAUGUUUACUUCACUUACCGUUGGAAUUUUGAAACCCACGCCGCUUAGAAGAAGCACUUUAUUCUACAUCUUUUUGUUGGCUUAAAAAAAUUGAAUAUUUUUUUUAAAAGCACCAAAGUUUAACCUGUUUUGUUUUGUUUCCAAUGCAUUGGCUGCCAUUGACGUGAAUAGACGUCUAAUUACGUAGCUCUUACAAACGAAAUUUUCCAAUGAAUUGGACGUCCGUCGCCGUCAAAUUGCAAAAAUUUCUACAUCUUUAUGUUGUUUUACAUGUGCUGCUAUCACCUGCAUGUUGCCUUUUCUCAAGAAAUAGAAGGAAGCAAAUCUAUUUACAAAGUUAUGAAACAGGGGAAAAUGUCAUACUGUAUUUGUGGACCUUGUGUGGAAAUAAUUAGAGUUAUGUGUUGUAUUUUUAUAAGCAGAUUAUGUUUUUGGUGUGGAAAAAAUACAAUGUUAUGAUGACGUUACACGAGUGUUCAUUUGUUGUUGUUUUUUGUAGUUCACUGAAUGGCCGUUAGUCGGCAGUAAAACGCAAAAACUGUAAAGUACUUCCAGAUGAGUGGGAAAAUGCAUAUGUGGCAGAUGGAAGGAGUUGGAGAAAAAAUAGAAUGAAUAUGGAAUCGAAGGAGGAAUGUGGCUCGUUGGUCUAGGGGUAUGAUUCUCGCUUAGGGUGCGAGAGGUCCCGGGUUCAAAUCCCGGACGAGCCCUACUUUUGGUUGUCUGAUUAAUAGUUAUUUAAACGUAUAUAAGCAGUAGAAAUCUAAUAUUUUAAGAUGUAAGCACACACAUCACAACAUUUUUCACCUGAUUUUGAGGAGCAGCUGAAACUGAGUACUGAUCCGAUACCAUGGCAAUUUAUUACUAAACAUUGCCUACAUUUUUUUUCUUGUUUUUUUUUGGGAGCUGUUCAGCUUUUGAGAGCAGGGGUGCUCAAAUCCAGUCCUCAAGAGCACCAAUCAAGCUUGUUUUCUAUGUUUCCCUUCUUUAACACACCUGAUUCGAACUUGGUAACGAUUCGGACAGGGGUUAAUUUGUGUCAGAUCCUGCCGGAACAAGAUCCGGCACCUCCUGAUUUUGGCCUCCCUGUGUUCCGGGACUUAUUUGGGACGAUCCGACACCUCUCUUGUGAAAUUUAGAAAAACAAAAACUUUGGAAAUUUGUGGCAUCUAGGGAGCAAGAAACCAGGAUCAAACGGUAUUUCAACAUGCCAAAAAGACAGUUGCAUUUACUGUCUUUAAAAAAUAAACGAAGAAAGAUGGUUCAAAACUAGUCAGAAAAGGAGCUAGCGCUGCAGCAGCUAGCCAGGUUUACUGACAGCCAGCCGAGCCAGGGCAGUAGGGUGCUACCGUGGCAGCAACUGGCCAGGUUCAGCACCACCUGGUGUGGAGGCCAGCUACAGCGUCAGCAGUUAGCCAGGUGGAUCACCAACAGGUGGAGCAAAAGGCUAGUACCCUUAUGGGAAAUUCGGGCUUUGGCUGCACAAACUUUUUGCAAAGGGGGCCAGAUUUGGUGUGGUAACGAUGUGGGGGGCCGACCUUGGCUGACAUCCUUUACGUAGAACAAUAUAUCAA
RNA transcript from Corythoichthys intestinalis (scribbled pipefish), 3067 nucleotides. It is a transcript of the gene named cytosolic 5'-nucleotidase 3-like, with no coding region annotated. The transcript is spliced from 9 exons. The record is from RefSeq and is a predicted model, not a curated record. Lineage: Eukaryota; Metazoa; Chordata; Actinopteri; Syngnathiformes; Syngnathidae.